RNAcentral lists this transfer RNA (102 nucleotides) under Desulfovibrionaceae bacterium. Its description in RNAcentral is "tRNA-Leu". Lineage: Bacteria; Pseudomonadati; Thermodesulfobacteriota; Desulfovibrionia; Desulfovibrionales; Desulfovibrionaceae. The record is from RNAcentral.
GCCCCCUUUGUUAACAUUGGGUAGAUAUGAACGAAAGCAAGGAAAAGAUGAAGUCGGCCUCUCACGCCGUUAACAGGGGUUCAAAUCCCCUUGGGGACGCCA